AGGUUAAGUUAAUAAGGGCGCACGGUGGAUGCCUUGGCACUAGGAGCCGAUGAAGGACGGUACGAACACCGAUAUGCUUCGGGGAGCUGUAAGUAAGCUGUGAUCCGGAGAUUUCCGAAUGGGGGAACCCCUUAUCCGUAAUGGGAUAUGAUCUUCCGCUGAAUACAUAGGCGGUUGAAGGCAGACCCAGGGAACUGAAACAUCUAAGUACCUGGAGGAAGAGAAAGCAAAUGCGAUUCCCUGAGUAGCGGCGAGCGAAACGGGAUCAGCCCAAACCGAAAGGCUUGCCUUUCGGGGUUGUAGGACACUCUAUACGGAGUUACAAAAGAAGCAGUUAGACGAAGCGGUCUGGAAAGGCCCAUCACAGAAGGUAACAAUCCUGUAGUCGAAAGCUGUUUCUCUCCAGAGUGGAUCCUGAGUACGGCGGAACACGUGAAAUUCCGUCGGAAUCCGGGAGGACCAUCUCCCAAGGCUAAAUACUCCCUAGUGACCGAUAGUGAACCAGUACCGUGAGGGAAAGGUGAAAAGCACCCCGGAAGGGGAGUGAAAUAGAUCCUGAAACCGUGUGCCUACAAGUAGUCAGAGCCCGUUAACGGGUGAUGGCGUGCCUUUUGUAGAAUGAACCGGCGAGUUACGAUUUGAUGCAAGGUUAAGCGAAAGCGGAGCCGCAGCGAAAGCGAGUCUGAAUAGGGCGACAUAGUAUCAGGUUGUAGACCCGAAACCAGGUGAUCUACCCAUGUCCAGGGUGAAGAUGAGGUAACACUCAUUGGAGGCCCGAACCCACGCACGUUGAAAAGUGCGGGGAUGAGGUGUGGGUAGCGGAGAAAUUCCAAUCGAACCUGGAGAUAGCUGGUUCUCUCCGAAAUAGCUUUAGGGCUAGCCUCAUGUAGUAAGAGUCUUGGAGGUAGAGCACUGUUUGGACUAGGGGCCCCCAACGGGUUACCGAAUUCAGACAAACUCCGAAUGCCAAAGACUUAUCCAUGGGAGUCAGACUGCGAGUGAUAAGAUCCGUAGUCGAAAGGGAAACAGCCCAGACCACCAGCUAAGGUCCCCAAGUAAUCGUUAAGUGGAAAAGGAUGUGGGGUUGCUUAGACAACCAGGAUGUUGGCUUAGAAGCAGCCAUCAUUUAAAGAGUGCGUAAUAGCUCACUGGUCGAGUGACCCUGCGCCGAAAAUGUACCGGGGCUAAACGAUUCACCGAAGCUGUGGAUGAAUCUCUAUGAGAUUCGUGGUAGGAGAGCGUUCUAAGCGCUGUGAAGUCAGACCGGAAGGACUGGUGGAGUACUUAGAAGUGAGAAUGCCGGUAUGAGUAGCGAAAGAAGAGUGAGAAUCUCUUCCACCGAAAGCCCAAGGUUUCCUGAGGAAGGCUCGUCCGCUCAGGGUUAGUCGGGACCUAAGCCGAGGCCGAUAGGCGUAGGCGAUGGACAACAGGUUGAUAUUCCUGUACCACCAACACAUCGUUUGAGUAAUGGGGGGACGCAGGAGGAUAGGAGAGCACGCCGUUGGUUGCGCGUGUUUAAGCAGGUAGGCAGGAAAUGAGGCAAAUCCCGUUUCCGUGUAAGCUGAGCUGUGAUGACGAGGGAAAU
RNAcentral lists this ribosomal RNA (1585 nucleotides) under Jeotgalibacillus salarius. Its description in RNAcentral is "partial 23S ribosomal RNA". It matches the Rfam family "Bacterial large subunit ribosomal RNA", at positions 1 to 1579 of the family's 2925-position model. Lineage: Bacteria; Bacillati; Bacillota; Bacilli; Caryophanales; Caryophanaceae. The record is from RNAcentral.